This 489-nucleotide ribosomal RNA is filed under the name uncultured bacterium. Its description in RNAcentral is "partial 16S ribosomal RNA". It matches the Rfam family "Bacterial small subunit ribosomal RNA", at positions 30 to 507 of the family's 1533-position model. The record is from RNAcentral.
UUGAACGCUGGCGGCAGGCCUCACACAUGCAAGUCGAACGGUAACAGGAAACAGCUUGCUGUUUCGCUGACGAGUGGCGGACGGGUGAGUAAUGUCUGGGAAACUGCCUGAUGGAGGGGGAUAACUACUGGAAACGGUAGCUAAUACCGCAUAACGUCGCAAGACCAAAGAGGGGGACCCUCGGGCCUCUUGCCAUCGGAUGUGCCCAGAUGGGAUUAGCUUGUUGGUGGGGUAACGGCUCACCAAGGCGACGAUCCCUAGCUGGUCUGAGAGGAUGACCAGCCACACUGGAACUGAGACACGGUCCAGACUCCUACGGGAGGCAGCAGUGGGGAAUAUUGCACAAUGGGCGCAAGCCUGAUGCAGCCAUGCCGCGUGUAUGAAGAAGGCCUUCGGGUUGUAAAGUACUUUCAGCGGGGAGGAAGGGAGUAAAGUUAAUACCUUUGCUCAUUGACGUUACCCGCAGAAGAAGCACCGGCUAACUCCGUG